Molecule: small nucleolar RNA, 102 nt
Organism: Coffea arabica (coffee)
Lineage: Eukaryota; Viridiplantae; Streptophyta; Magnoliopsida; Gentianales; Rubiaceae
Source: RefSeq, a predicted model, not a curated record
AAUCCAUGAUGUGGACAUUUCCUUAACAAUUCCCUAAACCUUUUCCAAGUUUCACAUAAUGAAUCACCAUCAUGUUGGUUAAAACCGUUAUAUCCAAAGUUU